CGGAAAGUAGCGCAGCCUGGUAGCGUACCUGCUUUGGGAGCAGGGGGUCGCGAGUUCGAAUCUCGCCUUUCCGA
RNAcentral lists this transfer RNA (74 nucleotides) under Thalassospira xiamenensis. Its description in RNAcentral is "tRNA_Pro_TGG". It matches the Rfam family "tRNA". Rfam says of the family: Transfer RNA (tRNA) molecules are approximately 80 nucleotides in length. Lineage: Bacteria; Pseudomonadati; Pseudomonadota; Alphaproteobacteria; Rhodospirillales; Thalassospiraceae. The record is from RNAcentral.